Molecule: transfer RNA, 74 nt
Filed under: Arthrobacter phage Atuin
Lineage: Duplodnaviria; Heunggongvirae; Uroviricota; Caudoviricetes
Description: tRNA-His
Rfam family: tRNA
About the family: Transfer RNA (tRNA) molecules are approximately 80 nucleotides in length. Their secondary structure includes four short double-helical elements and three loops (D, anti-codon, and T loops).
Source: RNAcentral
GUGGCUAUAGCUCAGUAGGUAGAGCGUCUGCUUGUGGCGCAGAAGGCCGAGGGAUCGAUACCCUCUAGUCACCC